This 46-nucleotide non-coding RNA is filed under the name Schistosoma curassoni. The record is from RNAcentral. Lineage: Eukaryota; Metazoa; Platyhelminthes; Trematoda; Strigeidida; Schistosomatidae.
GCGCCGCUGAGGAGUCCCAUACUAGGACGAAACGGACGUUCAGCGC